GACGAACGCUGGCGGCGUGCUUAACACAUGCAAGUCGAACGGUAAGGCCCUUCGGGGUACACGAGUGGCGAACGGGUGAGUAACACGUGGGUGAUCUGCCCUGCACUUCGGGAUAAGCCUGGGAAACUGGGUCUAAUACCGGAUAGGACUCCUGGCUUCAUGGUUGGGGGUGGAAAGCUUUUGCGGUGUGGGAUGGGCCCGCGGCCUAUCAGCUUGUUGGUGGGGUAAUGGCCUACCAAGGCGACGACGGGUAGCCGGCCUGAGAGGGUGACCGGUCACACUGGGACUGAGAUACGGCCCAGACUCCUACGGGAGGCAGCAGUGGGGAAUAUUGCGCAAUGGGCGCAAGCCUGAUGCAGCGACGCCGCGUGAGGGAUGACGGCCUUCGGGUUGUAAACCUCUUUCAGCUAUGACGAAGCGCAAGUGACGGUAGUAGCAGAAGAAGGACCGGCCAACUACGUGCCAGCAGCAGCCGCAG
Molecule: ribosomal RNA, 478 nt
Filed under: uncultured bacterium
Lineage: Bacteria
Description: partial 16S ribosomal RNA
Rfam family: Bacterial small subunit ribosomal RNA
Source: RNAcentral